Molecule: ribosomal RNA, 428 nt
Filed under: uncultured Bacteroidota bacterium
Lineage: Bacteria; Pseudomonadati; Bacteroidota
Description: bacterial SSU rRNA
Rfam family: Bacterial small subunit ribosomal RNA
Source: RNAcentral
CCGGAUUUAUUGGGUUUAAAGGGUGCGCAGGCGGGAGAUUAAGUCGGCGGUGAAAUUUUGCAGCUUAACUGUAAAAGUGCCAUCGAUACUGGUUUCCUUGAGUGUAGAUGAAGUAGGCGGAAUUUGUGGUGUAGCGGUGAAAUGCAUAGAUAUCACGAGGAACUCCGAUUGCGCAGGCAGCUUACUAAACUACUACUGACGCUCAGGCACGAAGGCGUGGGGAUCAAACAGGAUUAGAUACCCUGGUAGUCCACGCAGUAAACGAUGAUUACUCGCUGUUUGCGAUAUACAGUAAGCGGCUUAGCGAAAGCGUUAAGUAAUCCACCUGGGGAGUACGUUCGCAAGAAUGAAACUCAAAGGAAUUGACGGGGGCCCGCACAAGCGGAGGAACAUGUGGUUUAAUUCGAUGAUACGCGAGGAACCUUACC